RNAcentral lists this long non-coding RNA (1546 nucleotides) under Triticum aestivum (bread wheat). RNAcentral's name for it is "long non-coding RNA (TAES_LNC016339)". The record is from RNAcentral. Lineage: Eukaryota; Viridiplantae; Streptophyta; Magnoliopsida; Poales; Poaceae.
AAGAUAUGCUCUAAUAAUUUUGUACAUCAUACGAAAUACUUUCCAGGAUCAGUACAGGAUUUGCUUUGCAGCAAAGAUACAAUUGUGACAAUAAUUUAUUAGCAGAAGCGUGUGAAGCUUUACAAAUUUUAAAAACCAAGGCAAGAAGACACUAUCAGGUAUAUCAUUCACCUUUUUAUAUCUUCAUGUAAUGACUAAUUUUUUGUACUUCUCUAAAAUAUACAUUUGAAAGAUUGCCCUUUGUAAAUAUUACAAAACCAAAUAAUUUUACGUGUAGUGCUAAAAAUGACUUUGAGAGUACUUCGCCGUAGUAAUUCCCAUGGAGCAAUUGUCGUGCACUGAGAAACAACCACACUGUCACACCAAUAAUGCCAUACGCUGCAGCUCGAACCAUGCAACACAACAAUCCUGAAAAGCAUGAUUGAUAAGAAUUAUAGGUUGUUUCUACAUGCAGCCAGCAUCUCUUAUUUAGUGCAUACAUUGUUUUGUUUACGACAUUAUGCAUAAAGUACCUUUCAAAUAUUUGAUACUAUAUUGCUAAAAGAAUAUCAAAUGCAGAAAUGAAGGGACAGUAUACGUCAAAAUCAGCAGGCCCACUUGCAAAAGAAGCUAAAGAAGCUAUUAUCAGGAGGAAACAACAACUACAAGAAAAAAGGAGUAAGAGAUGCAGGAAUACACAGGAAACAACCAAUAAAAUAGAAGAAGAUGCUUCACGAAAGAGAAAGGAACAAAUCAAUGAAAUAAGAGAUGUCAAGCGUUCAAGGAGAAAUGGGAGGGACAAUGACCUUCAAAGCAACAUCAUAGAAACAAGCAGCAGCACUACGUCCAGAAGUUAUGAUAGCACGAUAUGGAACUUUGGAAAGCCAACAUAUAGAUGCGAACAUUGCAAUGCAAUACUAUGGUGUGAGGAAAGAUUAAAUUCUCAUAAAGGAACCAAAAAACCUUCUUUCGGAAUUUGCUGUAAACAAGGUAAGAUUGACCUACCAAAGAUAGCAUAUCCUCCACCUUAUCUCGCAGGACUAUUAACAGGUGAAGGAAGUGAUGCAACAAACUUCAAAGAAAACAUCAGGUCAUACAACUCAAUGUUCUCAUUCACAUCAAUGGGAGGAGCUGUUGACAAAGAAAUAAACAAAGGCAAAGGACCAUAUGUUUUUAGACUGCAUGGCCAGAACUACCACCAUAUCGGAAGUCUACUACCUGAAGAAGGUAACAAACCUCGAUUCGCCCAGCUAUACAUCUAUCAGACAGAAAAUGAGGUUCAAAACAGGAUAGAUGCUUCAAGAUGCAAUGAUAAAAAAUCAACGGUGAACACUGCCAUUGUCGAAAAACUACAAAAUAUGCUUGAUGAGAACAACAUCCUCGCGAAAUCUUUCAGAAUGGCAAGAGAUAGAUUCAAAGAAGAAGACUACCACGAUUACACACUUCGGAUACUUGGGAAAAGGAACGGAACACACAACCUUCCAUCUGCAUCGGAAGUUGCAGCAUUGGUUGUAAGAGAUCCAACUGGAGAAAGUGAAGGACGGGACAUUGUUGUCGAGUACAAAAA